GGAUGUGAGGGCAAUCUGGCUGUGCAUUUGCCACCCCAUUGAUAGCCAGGGCUGAUUCCACUGCUCUGAAUGGUUAGGUAGUCAUCCCUUUCCUCCCUCACUGCUCCACUUGCACCCCUUCCAAAGCUGUGCAUUCAGUGGAAAAGGAUGACCAACCCCGAUAGAGGAGGAACUCUAAUCCUUUUCAAUGAAUCCCCCAAUGACCUAAAGACCUCCCACCAGGCCCCACCUCUAAAAAGAUUGCACCACCUCCAAUAAUACCACUCCAGGCACCAGGCCUUUAAU
This 285-nucleotide small RNA is filed under the name Chinchilla lanigera (long-tailed chinchilla). Its description in RNAcentral is "7SK RNA (ENSCLAG00000021419.1)". The stretch from base 1 to 187 matches the Rfam family "7SK RNA". From Rfam's summary of the family: 7SK was discovered as an abundant small nuclear RNA in the mid-70s but a possible function has only recently been suggested. Two independent studies have found that 7SK RNA binds the CDK9/cyclin T complex (known as elongation factor P-TEFb). Lineage: Eukaryota; Metazoa; Chordata; Mammalia; Rodentia; Chinchillidae. The record is from RNAcentral.